This 542-nucleotide long non-coding RNA is filed under the name Brassica napus (rape). RNAcentral's name for it is "long non-coding RNA (BNAP_LNC010277)". The record is from RNAcentral. Lineage: Eukaryota; Viridiplantae; Streptophyta; Magnoliopsida; Brassicales; Brassicaceae.
AGUCGUCUAAACAUCUCUGGACCAGAAAUAGCGACAUGUUCUAAGUAAAAAACCAUAAAUGUACAGUGAAGAGGUGGGCUCCAAACUCUUGAGCUAUAUGGUUAGUUUUGGUCUAAUCCAGCUUGAUUUGAAUAACAUAUGGAAACUACACCCAUCAAAUCUUACAAAUAACAACCGCCCAAUACUUCAACAAUAAAGUCGCAACAACAACAAAUAUAUAUUAUCUCAAAUUGUACAUCCUACCACGUCAAUACGGACCCCCUUAGAUAACAAAUAUACAAAAUUCAAUAUAACAUUUUUAUAAGAAACUAUACAUCAAACAUAUACUACUCACACGUACGGGGAGCCAACAACCACACCUUCCACUCAAAUAUAAACAAUCCGCCAACCACUCAACACCGUAGCUUCUAACAAGCAUCUUAAGCAGUCACAGUAUGCUAAACCAACUAAAGCAUUACCCCAAACACCCCCUCAAACCACGGCCAUGACAGAAUGAUCAACCAAUCACUCCCAACGUCCAACAUAUUUCACAACAUCAUGGG